This 310-nucleotide unclassified non-coding RNA is filed under the name Collimonas sp. OK307. RNAcentral's name for it is "Long range pseudoknot". The record is from RNAcentral. Lineage: Bacteria; Pseudomonadati; Pseudomonadota; Betaproteobacteria; Burkholderiales; Oxalobacteraceae.
ACCGAUGAUGGGGAUUACAACAUCAAGCUGCGCAAUUUGACGCGAUUCCUGGAUGAGGACGGCGAUAAAGUCAAAAUCACCCUGCGUUUCCGCGGUCGUGAAAUGGCUCACCAGGAUAUCGGUGUGCGCAUGCUUGAACGUCUGAAGCAAGACCUGGAACCGUACGGGCAGGUCGAGCAGUGGCCGAAGAUGGAAGGGCGCCAGAUGAUCAUGAUCAUCGGACCCAAGAAGAAAAAGUAAGAAAGAUUUUAGGUGAUCUUGAUGAGUAAUCAUCAAGAUCACCCAAAAGCAGCGGGCCAGAUUCUGCUGC